Molecule: ribosomal RNA, 279 nt
Filed under: uncultured bacterium
Lineage: Bacteria
Description: partial 16S ribosomal RNA
Rfam family: Bacterial small subunit ribosomal RNA
Source: RNAcentral
UGCCAGCCGCCGCGGUAAUACGGAGGGUGCAAGCGUUGUUCGGAAUCAUUGGGCGUAAAGCGGGUGCAGGCGGUGAAGUGUGUCUGAUGUGAAAGCCCGGGGCUCAACCCCGGAAGUGCAUUGGAAACUGCUUCACUUGAGUCCUGGAGAGGAUAGCGGAAUUCCUGGUGUAGAGGUGAAAUUCGUAGAUAUCAGGAGGAACACCGGCGGCGAAGGCGACGCUCUGGCCUGUUUCUGACGCUGAGGUGCGAAAGCUAGGGGAGCAAACAGGAUUAGAUA